RNAcentral lists this transfer RNA (72 nucleotides) under Camelus bactrianus (Bactrian camel). It matches the Rfam family "tRNA". From Rfam's summary of the family: Transfer RNA (tRNA) molecules are approximately 80 nucleotides in length. Their secondary structure includes four short double-helical elements and three loops (D, anti-codon, and T loops). Further hydrogen bonds mediate the characteristic L-shaped molecular structure. tRNAs have two regions of fundamental functional importance: the anti-codon, which is responsible for specific mRNA codon recognition, and the 3' end, to which the tRNAs corresponding amino acid is attached (by aminoacyl-tRNA synthetases). tRNAs cope with the degeneracy of the genetic code in two manners: having more than one tRNA (with a specific anti-codon) for a particular amino acid; and 'wobble' base-pairing, i.e. permitting non-standard base-pairing at the 3rd anti-codon position. Lineage: Eukaryota; Metazoa; Chordata; Mammalia; Artiodactyla; Camelidae. The record is from Rfam by way of RNAcentral. RNAcentral also lists the same sequence under 2 other names.
AAGGGUAUAUCUUGGUGGUAGAGUGCAUGCUUAGCAUGCAUGAGGUCCUGGGUUCAAUCCCCAGUACCUCCA